RNAcentral lists this ribosomal RNA (253 nucleotides) under uncultured bacterium. Its description in RNAcentral is "partial 16S ribosomal RNA". It matches the Rfam family "Bacterial small subunit ribosomal RNA", at positions 524 to 776 of the family's 1533-position model. The record is from RNAcentral.
UACGGGGGGAGCAAGCGUUGUUCGGAUUUACUGGGCGUAAAGGGCGCGUAGGCGGCACUGUUAGUCAGGCGUGAAAGUCCUGGGCUCAACCUGGGAACUGCGCUUGAUACGGCAGAGCUAGAGGAUGGAAGAGGCUCGCGGAAUUCCCAGUGUAGGGGUGAAAUUCGUAGAUAUUGGGAAGAACACCGGUGGCGAAGGCGGCGAGCUGGUCCAUUACUGACGCUGAGACACGAAAGCGUAGGUAGCGAAUGGG